GAAAUGCGAUACGUAGUGUGAAUUGCAGAAAUACGUGAACCAUCGAAUCUUUGAACGCAAAUUGCGCUCCUUGGUAUUCCUUGGAGCAUGCCUGUUUGAGUAUCAUGAAAUCUUCAAAGUAAAUCUUUUGUUAACUCAAUUGGUUUCUACUUUGGUAUUGGAGGUCUUUGCAGCUUCACACCUGCUCCUCUUUGUUCAUUAGCUGGAUCUCAGUGUUAUGCUUGGUUCCACUCGGCGUGAUAAGUUAUCUAUCGCUGAGGACACUGUAAAAGGUGGCCAAGGUAAAUGCAGAUGAACCGCUUCUAAUAGUCCAUUGACUUGGACAAUACUUUUAUGAUCUGAUCUCAAAUCAGGUAGGACUACCCGCUGAACUUAAGC
Molecule: unclassified non-coding RNA, 378 nt
Filed under: plant metagenome
Description: partial contains 5.8S ribosomal RNA, internal transcribed spacer 2, and large subunit ribosomal RNA
Rfam family: 5.8S ribosomal RNA (bases 1-105)
Source: RNAcentral